RNAcentral lists this ribosomal RNA (305 nucleotides) under uncultured bacterium. Its description in RNAcentral is "bacterial SSU rRNA". It matches the Rfam family "Bacterial small subunit ribosomal RNA", at positions 333 to 638 of the family's 1533-position model. The record is from RNAcentral.
GUACCUACGGGACGCAGCAGUGAGGAAUAUUGGUCAAUGGUCGGGAGACUGAACCAGCCAAGCCGCGUGAGGGAUGAAGGUACAGAGUAUCGUAAACCUCUUUUGUCAGGGAACAAAGGCGGGGACGCGUCCCCGGAUGAGUGUACCUGAAGAAAAAGCAUCGGCUAACUCCGUGCCAGCAGCCGCGGUAAUACGGAGGAUGCGGGCGUUAUCCGGUCUUAUUGGGUUUAAAGGGUGCGCAGGCGGUCUGUUAAGUCAGCGGUCAAAGCCCGGGGCUCAACCCCGGCCCGCCGUUGAACAUGGCC